CUAGCUCCGUCCUCACAGAUCCACUCUACCCUCCGCCUCCUCUCGCCCCUAAGUGGAUCUCGUCGCUCCUCCCCCGUGAGAGGCGCCGCCACCCCUCUCCGUUCCCAUGCGGCGGCGAGACGUGGCCACGGGUAUGCCUCCCUCUGCCCUUCUCCCUGCUGGCCUCGGGGCCGCUUGUCCCAAGCUCCUUGAGCACGGGGUCGGCGGCUAGUGGCUCCCCGAGUACGAGAGGCCGAUUCCGUCCGGGCCGCCGUCCACCGCCCUAGCCCUUUCCUCCCUCGCCUCCCCUCAGCCGUCACCAGCAGCCGGCAUCCCUGCCCAGUGGCCCGCACGCGGCCCGAAAAUCACUUCUCUCCAUCGUCCCCCUCUCCCCGUGCGCCGCUCCCCUCCUCCCCUCAGAUCCACUCCUCCCGUCCGUCUCAACCUCCCGAUCCAUGGUGCUGCUAGCCUGGGGCAUCCUCCACCUCCUUUCUCAUCCUCAGAUCCAUGGCGCUGCUAGCCUGGGGCAGUCACGGGGCCUCCCCUCGCGCAUCCUCAGAUCCACGGGCUCGGUGACCCGCACCUGGCGUCGUCAUCGGAUCGAGGAGGUCGAACCUCCGUCGGUGCGGCCCCCUCCUGAAGUGGCCCAUCCUGCAUUCCCCUGACGCCUCACCGCUCUGUGCCCGGCCAUGGUCAGCUGGAUGGCACCAAAGGUGGGGAGGGCCGUCGCAUAUUUGUGCAACGCGGUUAGCAGCCUGCGAAUGAGCGAUGAGCAGGCGUCCGGGAGGGCGAGGUUGGUGGGCUGCGAGGCCUCCCUUGCCAACGGAGGCAUGCAGGCCCUCUCUCCAGGGCAUCACAUUUCAGUGUGAAUAAGGAGAAGAGUAACAAUAAUGGUUUUUACCAUUUAAUCUAACCCAUGCUUUUCCUAUUUGUAAAAUAAGUGCACAUUGGUAAAAGAAUAAAUCUUGCUAAAUCUUGCUAUCUAAUUUAAGGAUGCAUGCUCCUUGGAAAUUUAAUAACUAGGCUCAUAAAUAAAUGUGGGAUCUGUUUGCUUCAUGCGUAUGUUCAGCUCUGAAUGUCUAUUGCAUGAUAUUAUGGUUCUAAAAGAAAUAUGGUGGUGCAUUGAUCUAUUGCAUUCUCAGUUGAUGAUUGAAACCAAAGGGCUGGUUAGGCUUCAAGCCAUUUUAAAAGGGCUGGUUAGGCUGGGACAUGAUUUGAUUACGAAUUACCAUAUUUUCCUAUAGAAAUGUAUCUUGCUCUUCUCAUUAGAAAAUAACUGAUAUGGCCGUGCAACAAUUUAGUUUGUUUGUGAACUUUUAGCAUUGUCUUAAAUUACAGGAUGACUGGUGUGAUAGUAUUGGUUCUGUUGAAGAUAUCCAAACAAAACUUUUAAAGUGGCAGGAAGUUGUAGCUAAACGCGAGCGAGCCAUGGUCUAGGCUCUUAUCAGGUACUUUGUGACGAGCUUGAAAUAGAAACACCUGCAGAAAUCACUGUGAUUGAAGUAAGCAAGCUGAGUUGGAAACAAAACACAUGCUUUUGCUAAGCCAAAGCUAAGCAACAAGGUGGUAUGUUUGCUUUUGGUGGAACUUCAACCUUUUGCAGGAACAAGACUUUGCUGUUGCAGCUUCAUGUACCUUUAGUUGUUUCUGCUCCUUUUUGUUGUCUUUUGUCCUAAACUUUUUUAUUGUUUCUGAUCCUAGAAUGUUGGGCUGCUAGUGCUACUGGUUGGAAAGAAUGUAUGUGAUCCCUUAUUUUGAUGUCAUUCUGGAUGGAAGAUGGAAUAUUAUGAUCUAGUUUUUUUUUUU
This is a long non-coding RNA of Panicum virgatum (switchgrass), 1785 nucleotides long. RefSeq lists it as uncharacterized. The transcript is spliced from 3 exons. The record is from RefSeq and is a predicted model, not a curated record. NCBI's taxonomy places the organism in Eukaryota, Viridiplantae, Streptophyta, Magnoliopsida, Poales, Poaceae.